This 1740-nucleotide long non-coding RNA is filed under the name Homo sapiens (human). Its description in RNAcentral is "non-protein coding lnc-SEPT7-1:1". The record is from RNAcentral. Lineage: Eukaryota; Metazoa; Chordata; Mammalia; Primates; Hominidae.
AUUGUUAGUUUAAAGAAGACUGUGAGUGUCAGCACAUAAAAAGGUAAUCCUGUCUCAAUUGUAGCUACAGAUUGCAAGUCCUGUGUCAAUUCAAAUUUUUGCCAGCAGAUACUAAUGACUUCAUUGAAAGCAGAUGUUUAGAAAUGAAAGUAUAAACACAACCCCAGUUGAUUAAUAUGCUUAUUGUAUUUCCUUGUUGUGAGUCUAGCGAAUAUUUGAUUAUCUUUAAGUUGAUCCAUAGUAUAUUCAACAGUCUCAUGAGAACAUAAUUUUUGUUGAUGAUUUGUCCAAAGUUUCUAUCAAUCCAUCUUAGCAGCAGAGCCAAGUGUUAGAGUUAUUGCUGCCUGAGUUAUAACAGCUGCCCUGGGAAUCUUGUCUGAACAACAAGUUAACUGCUGUUCCCAGUUAUAUCUGGUCUUUCCCACCCCCAAACAUACACAAAAGAUUUUUGUCAUUCUUGGCACUGGACAACAGAAGUGAUAAGACAUGCCAGCAGAACUCUAAAGGCAGAAUGUCCUUCCACCUGUUUUAUGCUGUAAGACAAACUUCCAAGUGCGAGGCAGUGUGGAGGGCUGUUGCCUUGAAUGGCAGCUGAAUGCACCAGCGGGAUCCUUGGCAGCAAUGCCCAGGCACUGAAGUCGGGCAUUCAGGAGAGCUAAAUGGAGAAAAGAAACUUGAGCAAACUGCUUCCUGGAACACUGAGAACCUGAAUGGGAAAUUAAGAAGAACCAGAUUCUUUCUAUUCUUCCACCAGCCAAGAUUUUCCCACCCAUCUUAAAGCAGCAACUUCAGGAUGGGGGAAUCAAGCAAAACCAUGGUGAAGAGAUUCAUUUAAAGAGGACAAGUGAUUUAUUCUACAUCUCAGGAGACAGUUCCUUAAGGUGAUGAGCACAAAAGGAUCCAUCUUAUACAGUGCUUGCCAGCUUCCAUAAUACUACUCACCACGAUGUUGAAAUCACCUGUUCCAGAACCAGUCCUGUCCUUUGACAAGAAGGAUUUAAUUAUCAGUAGUGGUGGGGACUGGCUGGAGAGAGGAAAAACACUUCAAGGACUCUGCCACCUUUCGUAGAUGGAGAGUGCAAAGUUUGUACCAUGGAACUCCUUCUCUAACAGUUACUCUGUGGCAGUGCCUAUUUCAAACCUCCCUUAACUUCUGAUUGUAUAGAUGUUUGUUUCAUUUGUUCAUCUGUUUGUUCACUUAGUCAGAGAUGUUUUAAGCCUUAAGAGAAAUAGUGGACUAGAAAAUGCCUUGGAAAAGUACAAAGUUCAAUCCAAGUAAACUGUUUUUAAACUAGGAAUUUAUGAAGCCUAAAAUAUAAAAUGUAUAUACAUGGAUAUGCUCUGAAGUGAGGUAGAGGGGUAGAAAUCAACAUUGUGAUAUUGUACUAUAGUUUUGCAAGAUGUUACCAUUGGGGGAAAAUGUUUGAAGGGUAUACGGGAUAUCUCUGCCUUAUUUCUUACAACUGCAUGUGAAUCUACAGUUAUCUCAAAAUAAAAAUUUAAUUAACAAUUGAUUACAAUUAACAGCAUUAAUUUCUUAUCCUGUCAUUUUCCUUCUCCUGAAAUUGCAGAAUAGCCAAACAGAAACCUACCCAUGACCACCAUCUGAGAUUCUUUGGUGCCCGUAUUAGUGGACAUAGGCAGGUGUAUCAGGAGGCAUCCAGUCACGCAUACUGGAAGAUACUGACUCAACUGAUUUAAGCAAAGGAAAAUACAGUGUAUUAUAUAAUGAGACAUCUU